RNAcentral lists this ribosomal RNA (496 nucleotides) under uncultured bacterium. RNAcentral describes it as "bacterial SSU rRNA". It matches the Rfam family "Bacterial small subunit ribosomal RNA", at positions 24 to 518 of the family's 1533-position model. The record is from RNAcentral.
UCAGGAUGAACGCUGGCGGCGUGCCUAACACAUGCAAGUCGAACGGUAGCUUUUAAUGAACAAGACUUCGGUCAAGUAAAUCUAAGCUUAGUGGCGGACGGGUGAGUAACGCGUGAGUAACCUGCCUUUCAGAGGGGGAUAACGUUCGGAAACGAACGCUAAUACCGCAUAACAUAGCGGAACCGCAUGAUUCUGCUAUCAAAGAUUUUAUCGCUGAGAGAUGGACUCGCGUCCGAUUAGGAGUUGGUGAGGUAAGGCCCACCAAGCCGACGAUCGGUAGCCGGACUGAGAGGUUGAACGGCCACAUUGGGACUGAGACACGGCCCAGACUCCUACGGGAGGCAGCGGUGGGGAAUAUUGCACAAUGGGCGCAAGCCUGAUGCAGCAACGCCGCGUGAGGGAAGACGGUUUUCGGAUUGUAAACCUCUGUUCUUAGUGACGAAGAAGUGACGGUAGCUAAGGAGCAAGCCACGGCUAACUACGUGCCAGCAGCGGC